CGAAGCUCUACUAUCUCAAGAAUCUCUUUGAGAAAAUUAAGGUGGGAAUGCCAUGUGAUUAUCAAGUUAGUUAUGGAGAUGGAAGCUCAACCUCAAGAUUCUUUGUAAAGGAUGAUAUUCUGUUUGAUCAAGUGUCAGGAGACCUAAAAACAACAUCUAUGAACGGGUCUAUAGCAUAUGGGUAAACUUCUAACCCUUCUGAUUAAAAAUAUGAUUAAAA
RNAcentral lists this long non-coding RNA (220 nucleotides) under Nicotiana benthamiana. RNAcentral describes it as "long non-coding RNA (NBEN_LNC040968)". Lineage: Eukaryota; Viridiplantae; Streptophyta; Magnoliopsida; Solanales; Solanaceae. The record is from RNAcentral.